GGUUCAUUCAAAUUUCUGCCCUAUCAACUUUCGAUGGUAGGAUAGUGGCCUACCAUGGUUUCAACGGGUAACGGGGAAUUAGGGUUCUAUUCCGGAGAGGGAGCCUGAGAAACGGCUACCACAUCCAAGGAAGGCAGCAGGCGCGCAAAUUACCCAAUCCCGACCGGGGAGGUAGUGACAAUAAAUACUGAUACAGGGUUCUUUUGGAUCUUGUAAUUGGAAUGAGUACAAUUUAAAUCCCUUAACGAGGAACAAUUGGAGGGCAAGUCUGGUGCCAGCAGCCGCGGUAAUUCCAGCUCCAAUAGCGUAUAUUAAAGUUGUUGCAGUUAAAAAGCUCGUAGUUG
This 344-nucleotide ribosomal RNA is filed under the name uncultured fungus. Its description in RNAcentral is "SSU rRNA". It matches the Rfam family "Eukaryotic small subunit ribosomal RNA", at positions 292 to 636 of the family's 1831-position model. The record is from RNAcentral. Lineage: Eukaryota; Fungi.